Molecule: transfer RNA, 63 nt
Filed under: Arhopala agrata
Lineage: Eukaryota; Metazoa; Arthropoda; Insecta; Lepidoptera; Lycaenidae
Also listed under: 1 other name
Description: tRNA-Val
Source: RNAcentral
UAAAUUAAUUAAAAUUAAUAUCUUUUCAAUGUAAAUGAAAUACUUUAUAUAAGCUAUAAUUUA